GGAAGGAAUAUUGCACAAUGGGGGAAACCCUGAUGCAGCGACGCCGCGUGAGUGACGAAGGCCUUCGGGUCGUAAAACUCUUUUAUGUGGGAUGAGCAAGGACAGUACCACAAGAAUAAGUCUCGGCUAACUACGUGCCAGCAGCCGCGGUAAAACGUAGGAGGCGAGCGUUAUCCGGAAUUACUGGGCGUAAAGGGCAAGUAGGCGGUAGGCCAAGUUGGGCGUGACAAAUCCCGGCUUAACUGGGAGGGGUCGUCCAAAACUGGCAUACUCGAGGGCAGGAGAGGUAAGUGGAAUUCCUAGUGUAGCGGUGGAAUGCUCAGAUAUUAGGAAGAACACCAGUGGCGAAGGCGACUUACUGGCCUGUACCUGACGCUGAGAGGCGAAAGCUAGGGGAGCGAACGGGCUUAGAAACCCCUGUAGUCC
RNAcentral lists this ribosomal RNA (426 nucleotides) under uncultured bacterium. RNAcentral's name for it is "bacterial SSU rRNA". It matches the Rfam family "Bacterial small subunit ribosomal RNA", at positions 354 to 796 of the family's 1533-position model. The record is from RNAcentral.